CAGCCGCCGCGGGAAAACGUAGGGUGCAAGCGUUAAUCGGAAUUACUGGGCGUAAAGCGUGCGCAGGCGGUUAUAUAAGACAGAUGUGAAAUCCCCGGGCUCAACCUGGGAACUGCAUUUGUGACUGUAUAGCUAGAGUACGGCAGAGGGGGAUGGAAUUCCGCGUGUAGCAGUGAAAUGCGUAGAUAUGCGGAGGAACACCGAUGGCGAAGGCAAUCCCCUGGGCCUGUACUGACGCUCAUGCACGAAAGCGUGGGGAGCAAACAGGAUUAGAUACCCCAGUAGUCCCUGUCUCUUAUAC
RNAcentral lists this ribosomal RNA (301 nucleotides) under uncultured bacterium. RNAcentral describes it as "partial 16S ribosomal RNA". It matches the Rfam family "Bacterial small subunit ribosomal RNA", at positions 509 to 807 of the family's 1533-position model. The record is from RNAcentral.